UGUUAAUAUAUAUAAACCCAAAGCUCAUAAAACACUGAGAAAAACACAAAAACAGAGGCGUCGAUCGAUUUGGGGGAAAACAGAGGAGAAGCUAGGGUUUCAAUAUUUUAAUCCAAUUCGAGCACGAUUCAGGUGAGGGUCGAGUUUAUAAACAUGCUUAUAUGUGUAUGUAUUACUUGUUUGUGAUUGGAAUUGUUGGGAUUCAAAGGGAUGGGCUGAACUAGCGGCGGCCGGAGUGGUGCCCUGGCUGGUGUUGGCUGAUGAAGGAGAUGGGUUGUAUAUGUGUUGGUGUUCGAUCAUGGAGUAUGGGGCUGAUUGUUUGUCGGAGGAAAAGGGAGGGCGACGGUAGGUAGUUGUUUGUUGGCUGGCCGGCGUUUGUAUCUGCAGCAGAGAGAGCGGCAACCCCGCGUUGUUGGAACUCGGGAUGGUGGCAGUCGAGUUGUGGGUGUUGGUUAGUAGUGGGGUGUUGCGCAGUUGAAGAGAGGCGGUGACAAGCGGCGUGGACGUAGGUGGCCAGUGGGUCUGUUCGAGGGAGAGCGACCGGUGGCUGUGCGUGGGUAGGCCAGCGCCGCCGUGAGGCUGUGUUACAGCCGUGGGAAUUUGGAGCUGUUUGAAGGGUGUCGAGAUGCCAAGUCUGGCCGGGAAUUUGCUUGUGUGAGGGGGCUGCUGCGUUUCCGGUAGUUGAGUAGAUUGGAGCAGAAUCGCAGGGGAAGUGAGGGACUGUUUUGAAGGAGAUGAUGGUGGUGAGUUGUUUUAGUUAUUGUUGGCGUUUACAAAGUUACACUGGAGUCGUGGUGGAAGAAGCCGGGGCGGGACAGAACUUGGUUGUGGGUUGAUUUGGAUGACGGAGGAGUAGUGGAUUAAUAGUUCAAGGUUGGUAACAAAAAGCAUCAGCCAGUGAGACUGAUAGAGAUGGGGAUGGAGAUGAAAAAAGGUUUUGGAUUUGUUAUGUUUAGCUGCAGUUGGCACCACCUGGAGGUGGUUGCUUUCGGUUGUAGUUGUUAGCAGGGGGAGCAACUGUUGGCAUGUUGUGAUGGUGUAUGUUUGUAUGAGUUGGAAAUUGGUUGAGGUAAACUACUGGGUUGAGACAGGGGCGGCUGCAGAAGGAUGCAGUGGUGAUUGUUGGAGUGGAUUCAAAUGGCCAGAAAUCCGGCUAUGGCUUAUGGAACUAAACCAGAUAGGCCGAGAGAUAGAUAUUUUAUUAAUUAAUUAUGUAUUGUUGAGUUAUUAUUAUUAUCGGUAUUAUUAUUAUUAUCGGUUCAAUUGAUAAUGAUAAUGAUAAGUGAUACUUUUAAUAAUCUUGAUGAUUAAUAAUUGAUUAAAUUAUAUUCUAUUUCUGUCUCGAGUAUUGACGAAUAAAGUCGAUCGAGACGUGUACAUCAGCGACUUUCAGAAGCCAGAAAUUAGUGAUGCAAAUCAAGCCAGAAAUAAUUUGAUAAGGCGAUAUUGUGCCGCGAGAUAGUCCAAUAGAGUGUAGUGAUGUCAGAGAGUAGCAAUUGAGGCCAAGUUAGGAAUCUCGAGUAGUGUGACCGAGUUGUCACCUAUUUUUUUAUCAGAGGCAAGUAUUCCUAUUCUUCUCUUUUAAUUAAAGAGCAAGUAUUUCAAUUCUCUUUUGAUAAUGUAAGUGCUAUCUAUCACUUGUAUUUCCUGCAAGUAUGACUAUCCAUUUCCGAUAUUUGAAAGUACAAAUGCUUAUAUAUUUAUCUUGUGAUUUAAAAUAUCGAAUAUUUUCAGUUCGAUACUUUUUACUGUUAUAUGAACAGCGACAAUUCUAUUUGAAAAGCAUUUUGAUUAUUUUAAUCAGUUUUCUGAAAGAUUAUUGUCUGAGUUCUUUUACAGUUUGGAACUAUUGAUGACUCUAUAGCAGUCAUAUUUCGAUACUACAAUAUAUGCCUGGUCUUCUGUCCCAGACAUAAACCCUGGAUUUCAAAUAACUAAAUAGCUUUGUUUUUCCUUUGAGCCGUAUUACGGUGGAUUUUUAAAUUGUACUCAGACUUUGAUAAAAUUUGAUUUUGACAGUUUUUUGAAAUUGAAAAUGAAAGAGUUUUCAAAAAAAGUUUUGAAAGAGAGGCGUAAGGGGCUAGUGAUUAGUCCAGCCAGAGAGACCAGCAAAAAUAUUUUGUUUUGAUUGGAUGUAUGCGUAAGAGGCCGGGACGGCGGUCCAGUGAAGGGCUAGGUAUUAUAUGAAAUAUGUAUAAUACCAUUUCUGCCAAAGGCCAAUGUGUUGCCUUCUAUUUGGUACCUAUUGUUUGGAUCUGCUUCUACGAAGCAUGAUUCGUCGCUAUCACAGGAUUUCCUGAUCAGCUGUGUUAGUGUGCCGUUAGUUGAGAUUCCAAUCCAAAAACUGGUCAUUAUUGUUUAAGCUUAUGAUAGCUUAUGUUUACUGUCAAAUAUAUCUUGUGAAUUUUCAAGCAUAUUGAUUUAUAUGUUUGAUAAACUUUUGAGUUACAAAUGUUAUGAUUUACUUCAAAAGUUUGCUCUAUUUCAAAUACUCUGAUUUAAUUUAAAAGAAUUUAUAUCUUGUGGCUCUUGCCUUUCCUAUUAUCUUGCUGAGCAUUUUUGCUCACUCUUGCUAUUGUUUCUAACCCUUUCAGCUAAGGAUUAAGACGAGUUGUAUAAGCUGCGCGUAAGAUUGAUGCUAGGCGAGAUUGCCAGGGAGAUGUUUACAAGAGUAGUUUUGGUUAGAGUUGAAUUAUUUCAGUUCAGUUGUAUAAUAGAUUUAUUUAUUUGGUUAUCAGUCACUCUUUUUAUCGAGGUUUAACUGAUAAUGUAGUUUAAGUUGUAAUAAAAUUUGAUAGCUUUGGUUUC
Daucus carota subsp. sativus is the source of this 2808-nucleotide long non-coding RNA. RefSeq lists it as uncharacterized. The record is from RefSeq and is a predicted model, not a curated record. The transcript is spliced from 2 exons. NCBI's taxonomy places the organism in Eukaryota, Viridiplantae, Streptophyta, Magnoliopsida, Apiales, Apiaceae.